Molecule: ribosomal RNA, 250 nt
Filed under: uncultured Actinomycetes bacterium
Lineage: Bacteria; Bacillati; Actinomycetota; Actinomycetes
Description: uncultured actinobacterium partial 16S ribosomal RNA
Rfam family: Bacterial small subunit ribosomal RNA
Source: RNAcentral
GACGAACGCUGGCGGCGUGCUUAACACAUGCAAGUCGAGCGGUAAGGCCCUUUCGGGGGUACACGAGCGGCGAACGGGUGAGUAACACGUGGGUGACCUGCCCCUUGCUCUGGGAUAAGCCUGGGAAACUGGGUCUAAUACCGGUAUAUGACCCUAUGGCGCAUGUUGUGGGGUGGAAAGCCUUUGUGCGGCUGGGGAUGGGCCCGCGGCCUAUCAGCUUGUUGGUGGGGUGAUGGCCUACCAAAGGCGA